GCUGGCGGCGUGCCUAAUACAUGCAAGUCGAACGAGUUCUCGUUGAUGAUCGGUGCUUGCACCGAGAUUCAACAUGGAACGAGUGGCGGACGGGUGAGUAACACGUGGGUAACCUGCCCUUAAGUGGGGGAUAACAUUUGGAAACAGAUGCUAAUACCGCAUAGAUCCAAGAACCGCAUGGUUCUUGGCUGAAAGAUGGCGUAAGCUAUCGCUUUUGGAUGGACCCGCGGCGUAUUAGCUAGUUGGUGAGGUAAUGGCUCACCAAGGCGAUGAUACGUAGCCGAACUGAGAGGUUGAUCGGCCACAUUGGGACUGAGACACGGCCCAAACUCCUACGGGAGGCAGCAGUAGGGAAUCUUCCACAAUGGACGCAAGUCUGAUGGAGCAACGCCGCGUGAGUGAAGAAGGCUUUCGGGUCGUAAAACUCUGUUGUUGGAGAAGAAUGGUCGGCAGAGUAACUGUUGUCGGCGUGACGGUAUCCAACCAGAAAGCCACGGCUAACUACGUGCCAGCAGCCGCGGUAAUACGUAGGUGGCAAGCGUUAUCCGGAUUUAUUGGGCGUAAAGCGAGCGCAGGCGGUUUUUUAAGUCUGAUGUGAAAGCCCUCGGCUUAACCGAGGAAGCGCAUCGGAAACUGGGAAACUUGAGUGCAGAAGAGGACAGUGGAACUCCAUGUGUAGCGGUGAAAUGCGUAGAUAUAUGGAAGAACACCAGUGGCGAAGGCGGCUGUCUGGUCUGUAACUGACGCUGAGGCUCGAAAGCAUGGGUAGCGAACAGGAUUAGAUACCCUGGUAGUCCAUGCCGUAAACGAUGAAUGCUAGGUGUUGGAGGGUUUCCGCCCUUCAGUGCCGCAGCUAACGCAUUAAGCAUUCCGCCUGGGGAGUACGACCGCAAGGUUGAAACUCAAAGGAAUUGACGGGGGCCCGCACAAGCGGUGGAGCAUGUGGUUUAAUUCGAAGCAACGCGAAGAACCUUACCAGGUCUUGACAUCUUUUGAUCACCUGAGAGAUCAGGUUUCCCCUUCGGGGGCAAAAUGACAGGUGGUGCAUGGUUGUCGUCAGCUCGUGUCGUGAGAUGUUGGGUUAAGUCCCGCAACGAGCGCAACCCUUAUGACUAGUUGCCAGCAUUUAGUUGGGCACUCUAGUAAGACUGCCGGUGACAAACCGGAGGAAGGUGGGGAUGACGUCAAAUCAUCAUGCCCCUUAUGACCUGGGCUACACACGUGCUACAAUGGAUGGUACAACGAGUUGCGAGACCGCGAGGUCAAGCUAAUCUCUUAAAGCCAUUCUCAGUUCGGACUGUAGGCUGCAACUCGCCUACACGAAGUCGGAAUCGCUAGUAAUCGCGGAUCAGCACGCCGCGGUGAAUACGUUCCCGGGCCUUGUACACACCGCCCGUCACACCAUGAGAGUUUGUAACACCCGAAGCCGGUGGCGUAACCCUUUUAGGGAGCGAGCCGUCUAAGGUGGGACAAA
This 1474-nucleotide ribosomal RNA is filed under the name Lacticaseibacillus casei. RNAcentral describes it as "bacterial SSU rRNA". It matches the Rfam family "Bacterial small subunit ribosomal RNA". Lineage: Bacteria; Bacillati; Bacillota; Bacilli; Lactobacillales; Lactobacillaceae. The record is from RNAcentral.